GGGCUAUAGCUCAGUUGGUAGAGUGUCUGCCUUGCAUGCACAAGGCCCUGGGUUCGAUCCCCAGCCCA
RNAcentral lists this transfer RNA (68 nucleotides) under Marmota monax (woodchuck). RNAcentral describes it as "tRNA.Ala". It matches the Rfam family "tRNA". Rfam says of the family: Transfer RNA (tRNA) molecules are approximately 80 nucleotides in length. Their secondary structure includes four short double-helical elements and three loops (D, anti-codon, and T loops). Further hydrogen bonds mediate the characteristic L-shaped molecular structure. tRNAs have two regions of fundamental functional importance: the anti-codon, which is responsible for specific mRNA codon recognition, and the 3' end, to which the tRNAs corresponding amino acid is attached (by aminoacyl-tRNA synthetases). tRNAs cope with the degeneracy of the genetic code in two manners: having more than one tRNA (with a specific anti-codon) for a particular amino acid; and 'wobble' base-pairing, i.e. permitting non-standard base-pairing at the 3rd anti-codon position. Lineage: Eukaryota; Metazoa; Chordata; Mammalia; Rodentia; Sciuridae. The record is from RNAcentral.